Molecule: non-coding RNA, 28 nt
Filed under: Mus musculus (house mouse)
Lineage: Eukaryota; Metazoa; Chordata; Mammalia; Rodentia; Muridae
Source: RNAcentral
UCCAGGUGAGCUAGAGCAUCAACAGGAU